UUUCGACCCUCAUUACGAUCAGUGGACGCAAAUCAAACCGAUGCCCAUCCAAAGCCGUGUCGUGGGCGUCAUCGCUCUGAACAACCGAGUGUUUGCGAUGGUUGUGAUGGAGCCAACGUUCUGCAGAGCGUCGAAGCCUACAACCCUCAUACCAACUCCUGGAGAAUGCUUGCCUCCAUGUUUAACCCAUGAAGGAACAUUGGCGUCGAGGUGAUGGACGGCCGCUUGUACGUGGUUGGCGGCUACAGCGACGAAAGCACCACAUCCAACUGCGAGUACUACGACGAAGAGAGCGACGACUGGUACGAGACGUAUGGUGUCAGGUCCAGA
This is a long non-coding RNA of Ictalurus furcatus (blue catfish), 330 nucleotides long. RefSeq lists it as uncharacterized. The transcript is spliced from 3 exons. The record is from RefSeq and is a predicted model, not a curated record. Lineage: Eukaryota; Metazoa; Chordata; Actinopteri; Siluriformes; Ictaluridae.